Molecule: ribosomal RNA, 429 nt
Filed under: Chloroflexota bacterium
Lineage: Bacteria; Bacillati; Chloroflexota
Description: Chloroflexi bacterium partial 16S ribosomal RNA
Rfam family: Bacterial small subunit ribosomal RNA
Source: RNAcentral
UGGGGAAUAUUGCACAAUGGGCGCAAGCCUGAUGCAGCCAUGCCGCGUGUAUGAAGAAGGCCUUCGGGUUGUAAAGUACUUUCAGCGGGGAGGAAGGGAGUAAAGUUAAUACCUUUGCUCAUUGACGUUACCCGCAGAAGAAGCACCGGCUAACUCCGUGCCAGCAGCCGCGGUAAUACGGAGGGUGCAAGCGUUACUCGGAAUUACUGGGCGUAAAGCGCACGCAGGCGGUUGAUUGAGUCAGAUGUGAAAUCCCCGGGCUUAACCCGGGAAUUGCAUCUGAUACUGGUCAGCUAGAGUCUUGUAGAGGGGGGUAGAAUUCCAUGUGUAGCGGUGAAAUGAGUAGAGAUGUGGAGGAAUACCGGUGGCGAAGGCGGCCCCCUGGACAAAGACUGACGCUCAGGUGCGAAAGCGUGGGGAGCAAACAGG